GCGGGGCCAUGGAUAAGGGAGCUUCAAGGCCCAUUGGAGAGCAAGUAGCUAAGACAUCGUGCUAUCAUAGCUACGUAAUAUGUUUGGGGAUGGUGGCACCCAAGAAAGAGAAGAUAUCCUCUUGCAGGCUCUGGCUUCUAAAGGACUGGCAUUUCCCGGCAGUCCUCUGAGCUAUGAGAUGGAGUCCAAGCCCUAACCCUCAAAUCAAUCAAGUACUGAAGAAGACCACCGAGGGGGAAAAAUCAAUGAAAAAAAAAGUCUUCACAACAAAGCAAUAAGUGAAUCCCAAAUAAUUGAGCUGCAUCACUGUACGAAAA
This is a long non-coding RNA of Chinchilla lanigera (long-tailed chinchilla), 317 nucleotides long. RefSeq lists it as uncharacterized. The transcript is spliced from 3 exons. Lineage: Eukaryota; Metazoa; Chordata; Mammalia; Rodentia; Chinchillidae. The record is from RefSeq and is a predicted model, not a curated record.